CCAAACGUUAUGACCUCUCUGUGAUGGCUUC
This 31-nucleotide non-coding RNA is filed under the name Rattus norvegicus (Norway rat). Lineage: Eukaryota; Metazoa; Chordata; Mammalia; Rodentia; Muridae. The record is from RNAcentral.